This 241-nucleotide long non-coding RNA is filed under the name Ananas comosus (pineapple). Its description in RNAcentral is "long non-coding RNA (ACOM_LNC002052)". The record is from RNAcentral. Lineage: Eukaryota; Viridiplantae; Streptophyta; Magnoliopsida; Poales; Bromeliaceae.
AGCGAGCUAGUGAGCGACCGCGGUAAAGGUAUCGCGCCGUAGAAAGUGACCGCCAAGUCGGGUUUUAUAUUUUGUAGUUGCAUACCCAUAUAUCAUCUUUUGUAUUUGAUGAUUAGAGAUGUAAAGAAAUGAAUGUAAACUUUCUAUUUUGAAGAAAUGUGAUGUAAAAAGAAAUGAUGAAAAGCAUGUAUGUGAUAGAAGAAUCAUGAAUGUAAAGGUUGAAUGCUUGUAAAUGGUUAAA